GAUGAACGCUGGCGGCGUGCCUAAUACAUGAAAGUCGAGCGAACGGACGAGAAGCUUGCUUCUCUGAUGUUAGCGGCGGACGGGCGAGUAACACGUGGAUAACCUACCUAUAAGACUGGGAUAACUUCGGGAAACCGGAGCUAAUACCGGAUAAUAUUUUGAACCGCAUGGUUCAAAAGUGAAAGACGGUCUUGCUGUCACUUAUAGAUGGAUCCGCGCUGCAUUAGCUAGUUGGUAAGGUAACGGCUUACCAAGGCAACGAUGCAUAGCCGACCUGAGAGGGUGAUCGGCCACACUGGAACUGAGACACGGUCCAGACUCCUACGGGAGGCAGCAGUAGGGAAUCUUCCGCAAUGGGCGAAAGCCUGACGGAGCAACGCCGCGUGAGUGAUGAAGGUCUUCGGAUCGUAAAACUCUGUUAUUAGGGAAGAACAUAUGUGUAAGUAACUGUGCACAUCUUGACGGUACCUAAUCAGAAAGCCACGGCUAACUACGUG
Molecule: ribosomal RNA, 497 nt
Filed under: uncultured bacterium
Lineage: Bacteria
Description: partial 16S ribosomal RNA
Rfam family: Bacterial small subunit ribosomal RNA
Source: RNAcentral